RNAcentral lists this long non-coding RNA (458 nucleotides) under Olea europaea (common olive). Its description in RNAcentral is "long non-coding RNA (OEUR_LNC001843)". The record is from RNAcentral. Lineage: Eukaryota; Viridiplantae; Streptophyta; Magnoliopsida; Lamiales; Oleaceae.
UUGGCGUCCAUAGAGAGGACGAUGAAGCGGCGGCCGCGGGGCUCGCUGUGGCGGAAAGAGAGAGCGGUUACACCGAAAGUGGUGGAGAGGGAGCGGUUGCGCAUCCAUGAUGCGGUGGUUGGAGAUGGCGAGGGUUUAAGGCUCGUUGAUGAAGCUGCUGCCGCCAUCAGUGGUUGAUUAACGAAAAUUGCGGCGGAAGAGAGUGGAGUGAGGGCGGCUGAGGUGGUAUGCCUAUUUAUGUGAAGGGAGCCCCUUGGCUAUGUGGCUUACGUGGGAAUCAGGUGGUGGGACUUGGGAGAAAUUUCUUCUCUUCUCUUCCUUCUUUUCUUUCUUUCUUUCUAUUUUACAAAUAUACAUAUUUUGUUAUAUAUUAAUAUUUAAAUGCAAAAUUUUAGAACAUGUCCAAUGAUGCUCUAAAUUAUAUUUAAAUUGUGAUUUAGAUCCAGAAUGAUCGAAAA